This 907-nucleotide ribosomal RNA is filed under the name uncultured organism. RNAcentral's name for it is "bacterial SSU rRNA". It matches the Rfam family "Bacterial small subunit ribosomal RNA", at positions 13 to 942 of the family's 1533-position model. The record is from RNAcentral.
UUGAUCCUGGCUCAGGAUGAACGCUAGCGGCGCGCUUAAUGCAUGCAAGUCGAGCGAUGAGGUCCUGCUUGCAGGACACAUCAGCGGCAGACGGGUGAGUAACACGUAAGUGACCUACCCCGAAGACGAGGAUAACGGGUGGAAACAUCCGCUAAUACUGGAUAGACUCUGGGGGUCGCACCGCAGAGUAAAGCUUCGGCGCUUCGGGAGGGGCUUGCGGCCUAUCAGCUAGUUGGUAGGGUAACGGCCUACCAAGGCAAAGACGGGUAGGGGGUGUGAGAGCACGACCCCCCACAAUGGCACUGAGACACGGGCCAUACUCCUACGGGAGGCAGCAGCAGGGAAUAUUGCACAAUGGACGGAAGUCUGAUGCAGCGACGCCGCGUGGAUGAUGAAGGCCCUCGGGUCGUAAAAUCCUUUUCAGGGGGACGAGGCAGGACGGUACCCUUGGAAUAAGCGUCGGCUAACUACGUGCCAGCAGCCGCGGUAAGACGUAGGACGCAAGCGUUAUCCGGAUUUACUGGGCGUAAAGCGUCUGUAGGCGGAUGGGUAAGUUGGGCGUGAAAGCUCCGUGCUCAACGCGGAGAGGUCGUUCAAUACUGCCGAUCUGGAGGUCAUCAGAGGGGCGUGGAAUUUCCGGUGUAGCGGUAAAAUGCGCAGAUAUCGGAAGGAACACCAGUGGCGAAAGCGGCGCCCUGGGGUGGACCUGACGCUGAGAGACGAAAGCUAGGGGAGCGAACAGGAUUAGAGACCCUGGUAGUCCUAGCUAUAAACGAUGGAUGCUAGGUGUGGGGUCGAGAAGACUCCGUGCCGGAGCCAACGCGAUAAGCAUCCCGUCUGGGGACUACGGCCGCCAAGCUAAAACUCAAACGAAUUGACGGGGCCCCGCACAAGCAGCGGAGCGUGU